Molecule: ribosomal RNA, 440 nt
Filed under: uncultured bacterium
Lineage: Bacteria
Description: bacterial SSU rRNA
Rfam family: Bacterial small subunit ribosomal RNA
Source: RNAcentral
CCUACGGGUGGCAGCAGUGGGGAAUAUUGGACAAUGGGCGAAAGCCUGAUCCAGCAAUGCCGCGUGAGUGAUGAAGGCCUUAGGGUUGUAAAGCUCUUUUACCCGGGAUGAUAAUGACAGUACCGGGAGAAUAAGCUCCGGCUAACUCCGUGCCAGCAGCCGCGGUAAUACGGAGGGAGCUAGCGUUAUUCGGAAUUACUGGGCGUAAAGCGCACGUAGGCGGCUUUGUAAGUUAGAGGUGAAAGCCUGGAGCUCAACUCCAGAAUUGCCUUUAAGACUGCAUCGCUUGAAUCCAGGAGAGGUGAGUGGAAUUCCCAGUGUAGCGGUGAAAUGCGUAGAUAUUGGGAGGAACACCAGUUGCGAAGGCGGCUCUCUGGACUGUAACUGACGCUGAGGCACGAAAGCGUGGGGAGCGAACAGGAUUAGAUACCCGAGUAGUC